This 367-nucleotide ribosomal RNA is filed under the name uncultured bacterium. RNAcentral's name for it is "bacterial SSU rRNA". It matches the Rfam family "Bacterial small subunit ribosomal RNA", at positions 150 to 503 of the family's 1533-position model. The record is from RNAcentral.
GUGGAAACAGGUGCUAAUACCGCAUAAAACCUAACACCGCAUGGUGUAGGGUAGAAAGAUGGUUUCGGCUAUCACUUUAGGAUGGACCCGCGGUGCAUUAGUUAGUUGGUGAGGUAAAGGCUCACCAAGACCGUGAUGCAUAGCCGACCUGAGAGGGUAAUCGGCCACACUGGGAGUGAGACACGGCCCAGACUCCUACGGGAGGCAGCAGUAGGGAAUCUUCCACAAUGGACGAAAGUCUGAUGGAGCAACGCCGCGUGAGAGAAGAAGGUUUUCGGAUAGUAAAACUCUGUUGUUGGAGAAGAAUGUAUCUGAUAGUAACUGAUCAGGUAGUGACGGUAUCCAACCAGAAAGCCACGGCUAACUA